This 333-nucleotide ribosomal RNA is filed under the name uncultured Bacillota bacterium. Its description in RNAcentral is "bacterial SSU rRNA". It matches the Rfam family "Bacterial small subunit ribosomal RNA", at positions 28 to 351 of the family's 1533-position model. Lineage: Bacteria; Bacillati; Bacillota. The record is from RNAcentral.
GAUGAACGCUGGCGGCGUGCCUAAUACAUGCAAGUCGAGCGAAUGGAUGGGAGCUUGCUCCCUGAAGUUAGCGGCGGACGGGUGAGUAACACGUGGGCAACCUACCUACAAGAUUGGGAUAACUUCGGGAAACCGGAGCUAAUACCGGGUAAUACAUUGAGCUGCAUGGUUCAAUGUUGAAAGAUGGCUUCGGCUAUCACUUGUAGAUGGGCCCGCGGCGCAUUAGCUAGUUGGUGAGGUAACGGCUCACCAAGGCCACGAUGCGUAGCCGACCUGAGAGGGUGAUCGGCCACACUGGGACUGAGACACGGCCCAGACUCCUACGGGUGGCAG